This 595-nucleotide long non-coding RNA is filed under the name Pongo abelii (Sumatran orangutan). RNAcentral's name for it is "lincRNA". Lineage: Eukaryota; Metazoa; Chordata; Mammalia; Primates; Hominidae. The record is from RNAcentral.
UUUUGGCGACCAGGAAGGGACCUCCAAAGUGACCUGCUACUGACUCCCAUCCCUCCAGAUCUGGCAGGGUGUCCGCUGUGCUUCUGAUCCAGCAAGACACCCAUUGCCACUCCUGAUCUGGCUAAGGGCUCACCAUUGUUCCUGCACAGCUAAGUGCCCGGGUUCGUCCUAAUUGAGCUGAACACUAGUCGCUAGGUUCCACCAUUCUCUUCAGUGACCCACGGCUUCUAAUAGAGCUAUGACACUCACCACAUGGCCCAGGAUUCCAUUCCUUGGAAUCCGUGAGGCCAAGAACACCAGGUCAGAGAACACUAGGCUUGCCACCAUCUUGGAAGUGGCCCACCACCAUCUUGGAAGUGGCUCGCCACCAUCUUAGGAGCCCUGUGAGCAAGGACCCCUGGGAGAAAGCAUUUAUGGUGAGGAGAAAAACAGCUGGUAUCACACUCUACCCAAGUCCCAAAAACAGGUUCACAUAACUCCUGUCUUCGUUAUCUGAUAUCCGUAUGAAGAAUGUAAGAUAGAAAACAAAUUAGCAUUUGAGAGGAUUGAAAGAGAAGCAUUCUCAGCAGAGCCAAGAUUCACUUAGAACAAAAGG